This 239-nucleotide ribosomal RNA is filed under the name uncultured bacterium. RNAcentral describes it as "partial 16S ribosomal RNA". It matches the Rfam family "Bacterial small subunit ribosomal RNA", at positions 87 to 334 of the family's 1533-position model. The record is from RNAcentral.
UAUGAUUAGUGGCGGACGGGUGAGUAACAUUUAGGAAUCUACCUAGUAUGGGGGAGUAGCUCGGGGAAACUCGAAUUAAUACCGCAUACGACCUACGGGUGAAAGGGGGCGGCAAGCUCUUGCUAUUAGAUGAGCCUAAAUCAGAUUAGCUAGUUGGUGGGGUAAAGGCCCACCAAGGCGACGAUCUGUAACUGGUCUGAGAGGAUGAUCAGUCACACCGGAACUGAGACACGGUCCGG